AAUCUUCCACAAUGGACGAAAGUCUGAUGGAGCAACGCCGCGUGAGUGAAGAAGGUUCUCGGAUCGUAAAGCUCUGUUGUACGGGAAGAACAAGUACAGGAGUAACUGUCUGUACCUUGACUGUACCUUACCAGAAAGCCACGGCUAACUACGUGCCAGCAGCCGCGGUAAUACGUAGGUGGCACGCGUUGUCCGGAAUUAUUGGGCGUAAAGCGCGCGCAGGCGGUUCUGUAAGUCUGAUGUGAAAGCCCACGGCUCAAACGUGGAGGGUCAUUGGAAACUGGAGGACUUGAGUACAGAAGAGGAAAGCGGAAUUCCACGUGUAGCGGUGAAAUGCGUAGAGAUGUGGAGGAACACCAGUGGCGAAGGCGGCUUUCUGGUCUGUAACUGACGCUGAGGCGCGAAAGCGUGGGGAGCAAACAG
RNAcentral lists this ribosomal RNA (423 nucleotides) under uncultured bacterium. RNAcentral's name for it is "partial 16S ribosomal RNA". It matches the Rfam family "Bacterial small subunit ribosomal RNA", at positions 360 to 775 of the family's 1533-position model. The record is from RNAcentral.